Molecule: ribosomal RNA, 251 nt
Filed under: uncultured Rickettsia sp.
Lineage: Bacteria; Pseudomonadati; Pseudomonadota; Alphaproteobacteria; Rickettsiales; Rickettsiaceae
Description: partial 16S ribosomal RNA
Rfam family: Bacterial small subunit ribosomal RNA
Source: RNAcentral
GACGGAGGGGGCUAGCGUUGUUCGGAAUUACUGGGCGUAAAGAGUGCGCAGGCGGUUUAGUAAGUUGGAAGUGAAAGCCCGUGGCUUAACCUCGGAAUUGCUUUCAAAACUACUAAUCUAGAGUAUAGUAGGGGAUGAUGGAAUUCCUAGUGUAGAGGUGAAAUUCUUAGAUAUUAGGAGGAACACCGGUGGCGAAGGCGGUCAUCUAGGCUAUUACUGACGCUGAUGCACGAAAGCGUGGGGAGCAAACA